Molecule: ribosomal RNA, 525 nt
Filed under: uncultured bacterium
Lineage: Bacteria
Description: bacterial SSU rRNA
Rfam family: Bacterial small subunit ribosomal RNA
Source: RNAcentral
ACAUCCAGAGAACUUAGCAGAGAUGCUUUGGUGCCUUCGGGAACUCUGAGACAGGUGCUACAUGGCUGUCGUCAGCUCGUGUUGUGAAAUGUUGGGUUAAGUCCCGCAACGAGCGCAACCCUUAUCCUUUGUUGCCAGCGGCUCGGCCGGGAACUCAAAGGAGACUGCCGGUGAUAAACCGGAGGAAGGUGGGGAUGACGUCAAGUCAUCAUGGCCCUUACGGCCAGGGCUACACACGUGCUACAAUGGCGCAUACAAAGAGAAGCGACCUCGCGAGAGCAAGCGGACCUCACAAAGUGCGUCGUAGUCCGGAUUGGAGUCUGCAACUCGACUCCAUGAAGUCGGAAUCGCUAGUAAUCGUAGAUCAGAAUGCUACGGUGAAUACGUUCCCGGGCCUUGUACACACCGCCCGUCACACCAUGGGAGUGGGUUGCAAAAGAAGUAGGUAGCUUAACCUUCGGGAGGGCGCUUACCACUUUGCGAUUCAUGACUGGGGUGAAGUCGUAACAAGGUAGGCGUAGCGAG